RNAcentral lists this long non-coding RNA (622 nucleotides) under Rattus norvegicus (Norway rat). RNAcentral's name for it is "long non-coding RNA NONRATT029414". The record is from RNAcentral. Lineage: Eukaryota; Metazoa; Chordata; Mammalia; Rodentia; Muridae.
GGCGUCUCCAUUUUGUGGACCCCAAGGCACGCAGUGAAGUCUGAGACCUGAGCCUCUCAAGAAGCCACUUAGGGCCGGACCGUGUCUCGUUCGAUCCAGUUUUCUGGAGGUCUCCUGGCGAAAACAAGUGACAAAGCCACUGUUGAGUGAGAUGGGCCAGCGACCGCCCGGUGUGAGUAAUCUGAGAACCCUUCCUAUUCUUGCUGUUCCUACAGGGACUUGGGCUGUUGGAGAGCUGACUCCUGAUUAAUGUAGGAAAGUGUUUGUUUCCUAUCUUCCACUUUUGGUUCCUUCUGUGCUUUUUGGGAAUCCACUCUCAGCACCUCCAAACUUGUGGCACAUUUAAAUCCAAGUCUUUCUUGAAGAGAGCCAAAGACUUAUUAAAUUAAACUCGUUUCUGGAAUCAAAUGCCUCCUUGUUAAUUUAGUGAGUGACUCUGGAUGGAGUAAAGUUCUGGACAAGGUACUUGGUUGUCUUUGGUUUGUUUAUUUAUUUCUAUAACCUCAGCAUGGAGGCCGCCGGGACAAAGCUCAAGGACAGCGUGCCCUGGAAAGAAGCCUGCUGACCAAGUGUGGGGCAGUAAAGGUUUGGCCCAGGGCCUUCUGUACUCAAAGCCUUGUUU